GCCGACGUAGCUCAGUGGGAGAGCACCGCUCUGGUAAUGCGGUGGUCGCGGGUUCGAAUCCCGCCGUCGGCU
This 72-nucleotide transfer RNA is filed under the name bacterium. RNAcentral's name for it is "tRNA-Thr". It matches the Rfam family "tRNA". From Rfam's summary of the family: Transfer RNA (tRNA) molecules are approximately 80 nucleotides in length. The record is from RNAcentral.